GGCCGCGUGGCCUAAUGGCUAAGGCGCUAGAUUUCGGUCCCCUGUCCGGUUCUCUAGAGAUUCCAGGUUCGACUCCUGGCGUGGUCG
This 87-nucleotide transfer RNA is filed under the name Claviceps africana. It matches the Rfam family "tRNA". From Rfam's summary of the family: Transfer RNA (tRNA) molecules are approximately 80 nucleotides in length. The record is from Rfam by way of RNAcentral. Lineage: Eukaryota; Fungi; Ascomycota; Sordariomycetes; Hypocreales; Clavicipitaceae.